RNAcentral lists this ribosomal RNA (289 nucleotides) under uncultured bacterium. Its description in RNAcentral is "partial 16S ribosomal RNA". It matches the Rfam family "Bacterial small subunit ribosomal RNA", at positions 467 to 755 of the family's 1533-position model. The record is from RNAcentral.
AAAUGACGGUACCUGACUAAGAAGCACCGGCUAAAUACGUGCCAGCAGCCGCGGUAAUACGUAUGGUGCAAGCGUUAUCCGGAUUUACUGGGUGUAAAGGGAGCGCAGGCGGUGCGGCAAGUCUGAUGUGAAAGCCCGGGGCUCAACCCCGGUACUGCAUUGGAAACUGUCGUACUAGAGUGUCGGAGGGGUAAGCGGAAUUCCUAGUGUAGCGGUGAAAUGCGUAGAUAUUAGGAGGAACACCAGUGGCGAAGGCGGCUUACUGGACGAUAACUGACGCUGAGGCUCA